AAGCGAAACGGGGGGCUUUCCCCCGUCUGCCCGGCGUGGUGGCCGGGUACUGAUGAGCAGCCGACC
RNAcentral lists this non-coding RNA (66 nucleotides) under Aeromonas caviae. Lineage: Bacteria; Pseudomonadati; Pseudomonadota; Gammaproteobacteria; Aeromonadales; Aeromonadaceae. The record is from RNAcentral.